Molecule: long non-coding RNA, 16072 nt
Filed under: Citrus sinensis (sweet orange)
Lineage: Eukaryota; Viridiplantae; Streptophyta; Magnoliopsida; Sapindales; Rutaceae
Description: long non-coding RNA (CSIN_LNC002391)
Source: RNAcentral
AAAAUAUUCAUGAUAUACUAAAAAAAAAAAGGUUCUAAUCUUAUUUUGUUUUACAUAAACAUCUCAAAAUUCAUUGUAAGUGAUGUGAUAUUCAUUAGGGAUGAGGAUUUCGAUUUUUUGUUGUUCAAUUUUUACGAUUUUCGGUUUAGGUUACAACCCAUUCGAGUCUAAGAUUUCAACCUAAGCAUGUUGAAAGAUUGUUUCAGUUUGGUCUACUUUGGUUCGGUUUGGUUCGGUUUGGUUCAAUUUGAUACGAGUAUAUAAUUUGGUGUGGUUUUGGUUUGUUAAUUCAGGUCUAAACACAGUUUCGGUUAUAAUAAAAUAGCAAUAUGUGAUUGUAAGAGUGAGGCAAAGAUGGAGAAUAAUUUUUUUUUUUUUUAAAAGGUACCUUAUGCUCGUGAAGAUCACAAUUGUAUUUAGGCCUGUAACAACAACCUGCAGAAAAUAACUUGCUCAGGUCAGUCCUAUUAGAAAAAGUGUCUAAAUUCCGAGAAAUUACUAGAGUCGGUGAGAGAUAGAAACCUGAAGAAUGGCAUAGAUUAUUGUUCCAACGCUGGAAGAAAAUCCUAAGGACAUUACAAGUAUAAGAACCAAAAUAUUAUGGUCGUUCUAAAUUUUUGAGAGAACAUGAAAGCAUAUCCUUGCAGAGAUCUCAUUACCUGCUGACUCAAAAAUAGUGCUGCUGUAAAAACAGAUUCCAUUGAUUCCACCAAAUUGUUGAAACACCAUCAAUCCGACUCCAAUCUUGUCAAAAUGAAUAAAUUGUAGGAGGAGUCAAUGAGAAGAUAAAAUGUAGUUGCAUUAUAGAUGAAGGAGAAAGAGGAAUUUGUACCGUGACUGAGCGCAAGUAUCUUCUUUGAAACAAAUCCAGCAUUCCAGCUUUUGGGAGCCUUUCUAGAGUUUCUAUGUAAUCCUGUUAAGCAACGAAAAAAAUGCUUCAGAUAAAUUUUCUUCUCAAUGGUCCAAUACACAUAGUCAGUGUGGAAUGGCACUUAUAACUCAGAUAUAAGACCUGGAUUUCAGCUGCCUCAUGUGUUAUAUCAGCAUCCUUGCCACGAAGUUUCUGUAGCGCAGCUUCAAACUCUUUUUCCUUUCCUGUCUUUGCCUGUGUCCAUGGCAAGUUCAGUUUCAUGUAUUCAUCUUUUUCUUGGAGUGUCAUUAUCAGGUAUCCUUACCAGCCAUCUAGGAGACUCCGGGAUGAAAAAGAGACCCAAAAACAAAAUUGCACAGGGGAUGAUACCUGCAAUAAUUGUCUGUAAGCCUUCUGUUUCAUUAUCCUUUCGUAGUUCGUUUUCCUUUUUAAGUUUUCUUGGACAGUUGAAUAAAUGGAUGGUUAAUCAUUUUCACCUGUUAGUGCUAAAGCUCUCCAUGUUAGUACCGUCCCAAUUAUGAAGGCAACUGACACACCAGCACAGAUCAUAAGCUAUAUACAAACAUCAGAAACAAUUAGAUAGAUCAUAGAUUGCUUAAUUUUGGGGCAACUAGCUAUUCGAGAGAUAAAUUAAAAUGACAAAUGAGAAUUUCCUCCAAUUAAGAUGUCUGCAUUUUUAGCUUACCUGAUUUGCAGCUGUUAGUGCUCCUCGAAGAUUCUUGGGUGCAAUUUCAGCAAUAAAAACCGGCACCACAUACGAAAAGACUCCCAUUCCAUAUCCUGUUGCCAAUCUUCCAAUAUCCAAUGGCCAAACCCCCUUUUGUUUCAAUCAAAACAGAAAGAAUAUAAUUGGUAAGUUUAUAGGAAAAUUGUUCUCUUUGCUAUGUAGCUGAAAGAAAUAGGGGAACAAAAAAAUAUUAGUAGAGCUUAAGAAUAUAUGAACCUCAGCAAAGUAAAUAGCAAGCCAUCCUGCAACGCAGAAGACACUUGAAACUCUCAUUGCCUGCACAUAUUAAACAAUCUUACAAGCUAAAUAUUCACUAGAACACAAUUAAGCUCAUAUCCUAAACAUGCAGUGAUUAAUCAGCUAAAAAAUAUAUAUCUUCUUACCCCUUUCCGACCAACAUAAUUAGCAAUUGGCCCACUGGUGAUUGCCCCGAUCAUGGCACCAAAUGUUAAUAUGGAGCCAAACACGGAAUACUGCAUGAGUAUAAACCAAAACCAAAAUGAAAAAAUUUCAUAUUUACCAACUGAAUGGAAUUAGUCUCUGCAGGAAUCAUAAUAACAUUUCUGCACAUCUGCUUCAGCUUAAUAUAACUUGUAUUCAACAAGACAUGCUCUGUCGCUAAAACAUCCUUGUCAAGACACUAAACUCAUGAUUCUUUACUUCUUAGUAAAUAAACAUACACUAAAAAAGUGAUUAAUUUGGAACUAAUUAGAAGAAUGCCCAUUCAUCAGCAUACCUCUGCGAGGGACAGAGCGAUAUCUUCCCUGAUAGCACUCUGAGUAGGAGAUGAAUAUCCAGCCUGCAAAACCAAAUUGACAAUUCCACAACCUAAGCCUUCCAAGCAUUCAACAGAAAAAAAAGUGAAAAUCAUUGUUUCAGAAUUUGGUUUCAGGAAAUGGACUUACACACGAUCCGAAAGCAUAAGAACCGCAAACUGCAAUGGGUGUGCUGAAGUAAACCAUGCACGGAUUUACUUUCUUGUUGUUUGUUCGGUCACCAGCUCCACCAUCUUCAUGAGCUAAGAUGUUCUCAAUCGGCAUAAGUGGUUCCCUUAUAUUUUCUUGAACAUCCUCUUUGACGUCCAUGAUGAUGCUGAUACCUUCCAAAAAGUUGCCUUAGUUUAUCUAAUAGAAGAAAUUGAAAGAAAUUGUUACAAGAUAAAGGAGAUACGCGAAGAUGGAAGCAGAAGCAAACUAUAUCAUCUAUCAAUUAGCCACAAGAGGCUGGAAUUUCUUGAGUCUUCCCUCAAUACUCCUUCGUGAGUUUUAUGAAAGUACUAACACUGAGGACAAGUAGGCAAUUUGUUUUUUCACACAACUGGAUAAUGAAUCUGAAUCAACGACCAUAUGUACACGUUCUACUCGAAGUAAUAUGUACGCUACUAAACUCAACUGGUGUUAUUUUGUCGUUUGCAUGAAAACUGAAACCUGAAAAGAUGACUUAAAGAUACAUGAACAGGCAGAAACCGCAAGCCAACAUGACUUAAAGAGAAUUUCUUCGAAGUAAAUUUUCCCACGGUUUGUUUGUGUAGGAGAAAAUCUAGGUCCCUCGUUAUCUCGUGUUUAGAAUUGUCAACUGUCGUGCGAACCUCUAAAGAUUCAAGAAAAUCAAAGACAAUUUCAGAUUUUUCUUCACCUGGGAUGUGGCUAAUUUCUUUCGGCACCCAUACCUUCUGUAUCAUUUAAAAUGUCUUAAUAAGCUUAAUUAGCCCCCAUGAAAUGCUUCACAGCUGAAGGCACAGCGAGUGUGCCUUUUAUUUUACUACAUCGACUUUCACAUGGAGAUUAUAAGCCGUAGUUAAAUUGUAAGAUAAGAAUGAAAUUAUGGAUACGUCAAAGUGCCAAGUUGAAUUAAUAAAAAAAUAGGAAAACGACGGUUGUGUGUGUCUAUCCUACAUUAUAAGGAAACAGUUAAGUUUCCAACAAGAGACAUGAUAGCCUUUUAUUUUAUUAUCCUAAAAAAAUUGGCUCAAAUAUUUUAUAAUAAAUAUUAAUAUAAUAUAAAUAUUUUAAAUAAUUUUAAUAAUUAAAAAAUACUAUAAUAUCUGCUGUACCGUACAUCCGCCUCCCACUUGUGAUUGCCCCGAUCAUGGCACCAAAGGUUAAUAUGGAGCCAAACACAGAAUACUGCAUGAGUGUAAACCAAAACCAAAAUGAAAAAAUUUCAUAUUUACCAACUGAAUGGAAUUAGUCUCUGCAGGAAUCAUAAUAACAUUUCUGCACAUCUGCUUCAGCUUAAUAUAACUUGUAUUCAACAAGACAUGCUCUGUCGCUAAAACAUCCUUGUCAAGACACUAAACUCAUGAUUCUUUACUUCUUAGUAAAUAAACGUACACUAAAAAAGUGAUUAAUUUGGAACUAAUUAGAAGAAUGCCCAUUCAUCAGCAUACCUCUGCGAGGGACAGAGCGAUAUCUUCCCUGAUAGCACUCUGAGUAGGAGAUGAAUAUCCAGCCUGCAAAACCAAAUUGACAAUUCCACAACCUAAGCCUUCCAAGCAUUCAACAGAAAAAAAAGUGAAAAUCAUUGUUUCAGAAUUUGGUUUCAGGAAAUGGACUUACACACGAUCCGAAAGCAUAAGAACCGCAAACUGCAAUGGGUGUGCUGAAGUAAACCAUGCACGGAUUUACUUUCUUGUUGUUUGUUCGGUCACCAGCUCCACCAUCUUCAUGAGCUAAGAUGUUCUCAAUCGGCAUAAGUGGUUCCCUUAUAUUUUCUUGAACAUCCUCUUUGACGUCCAUGAUGAUGCUGAUACCUUCCAAAAAGUUGCCUUAGUUUAUCUAAUAGAAGAAAUUGAAAGAAAUUGUUACAAGAUAAAGGAGAUACGCGAAGAUGGAAGCAGAAGCAAACUAUAUCAUCUAUCAAUUAGCCACAAGAGGCUGGAAUUUCUUGAGUCUUCCCUCAAUACUCCUUCGUGAGUUUUAUGAAAGUACUAACACUGAGGACAAGUAGGCAAUUUGUUUUUUCACACAACUGGAUAAUGAAUCUGAAUCAACGACCAUAUGUACACGUUCUACUCGAAGUAAUAUGUACGCUACUAAACUCAACUGGUGUUAUUUUGUCGUUUGCAUGAAAACUGAAACCUGAAAAGAUGACUUAAAGAUACAUGAACAGGCAGAAACCGCAAGCCAACAUGACUUAAAGAGAAUUUCUUCGAAGUAAAUUUUCCCACGGUUUGUUUGUGUAGGAGAAAAUCUAGGUCCCUCGUUAUCUCGUGUUUAGAAUUGUCAACUGUCGUGCGAACCUCUAAAGAUUCAAGAAAAUCAAAGACAAUUUCAGAUUUUUCUUCACCUGGGAUGUGGCUAAUUUCUUUCGGCACCCAUACCUUCUGUAUCAUUUAAAAUGUCUUAAUAAGCUUAAUUAGCCCCCAUGAAAUGCUUCACAGCUGAAGGCACAGCGAGUGUGCCUUUUAUUUUACUACAUCGACUUUCACAUGGAGAUUAUAAGCCGUAGUUAAAUUGUAAGAUAAGAAUGAAAUUAUGGAUACGUCAAAGUGCCAAGUUGAAUUAAUAAAAAAAUAGGAAAACGACGGUUGUGUGUGUCUAUCCUACAUUAUAAGGAAACAGUUAAGUUUCCAACAAGAGACAUGAUAGCCUUUUAUUUUAUUAUCCUAAAAAAAUUGGCUCAAAUAUUUUAUAAUAAAUAUUAAUAUAAUAUAAAUAUUUUAAAUAAUUUUAAUAAUUAAAAAAUACUAUAAUAUUUUACAAUCUAUUAGAUAUAUUUUAUCUGCUGUNNNNNNNNNNNNNNNNNNNNNNNNNNNNNNCCUGCUGUACCGUACAUCCGCCUUGGCCGUACAGCAGUAUAUAAAAAUUCAAAAUAUUUGGGAUACUAUGUAAAAUAAUUUUAAUAUUAUUAAUGCGUGCAAUAUAUUUUAUUAAAUGUAAAGUAUAUUUAACUCAGAGAUUUAUUUAAAAUCUUUGUAAUAGAUUCAUGAAAGUAUUAAAAUAAUAUAGUGAUAUAAAUUAUUUUUAAAUAUUUUACUUUUAUUAAUUUAUUAAAUAGAUUAAAUUAUUUGCUGCUGUCUUUUGACAAGCAAUUCUUGACAGGAAAAUGAGUUGGUUGUUUGUCUUUUAUCCCCAAAGAUGUGAGACUGAUUCAAGUUAUUUACGCAUCCUGUCCAUUAUCCAACAACAAUUCUGGUGACGACAGUGAUCUGAUCUACUACCCAUUUUACUUAGUAAUAAAUUAGGUACAGCCAGCCACCGAUUUAGAAUGGAGAGUUGGCAACCGCAUUGGUUCACUCCUGAAAAAAUAUUAAAAAAACAAAUGGAGAGUUGCAAUUUGCCAUGUGUUUCGAUGAUGAAUUCAAAAGUGGUUGUUUUGGGAUAUAUUUGAAUAAAGGAAUGCAGGCCUUGGAGAAAUAAUAAUAAUAAUAAUGAACAACAUAUAUGAGAUCUUUCAAAUUGAUGCCGUAAGAACUUGAUAGAUCAAGAGGGUACUUAUAAAAAUGAUCGACACUAAAUUUUCACGGUUGCAUUAAAUUUGCAGUUCGCCAACAAAUAUUUCCACCCAUUUGCAAGUAAAAACGAAAUUCAACAUCAUGCCUUGCCAAUCUCAGAGUGAACAAGCAUGGUUGUAGCUCAAAUUGACCUUCAGGCUCAAGAGAACUUGCAGAUCCCUUUCCCACAAUUUUUCAGAAUUGAUUUAACAUGAAACAUCACCUCAGAACAAGAACAUAUAGUAAGACUCGAAUGUUAACAUCUCAGAACAAGAACAUAUAACAAGACUCGAAUAUAACUUCCCAUAUUUACUGCCACAGCACAAAAUUCAGAAUUAGUUUCUUCGGUAAAUCCCGAUUAAAGAACUGGCCGAAUCCAUCAGUUUGAACUAUAAAAAUGCAGCGAUAAGGCUAUAGAAAAAGCAACAAGAAGAUCAAUGAAGCUACAAACACCAGUAGUCUCAGAUAGUUGACCAUAACAUUCAAUGUACAGAGACAAAUCCCACCUUGUACCGAGAUGGUGUGCUGUUUCUUCCAGCACAAGUUUCACCCGUAUGAAACUGCCACAUUUUCCUUAAUCUUCUAACAGCUCUUAACCGACUAUGCUUUUAUGCAGACACUUAGGUCCAAAACAAGCAGAUUAAGCCUGGAGCAUUUACUCUAUCAAUCGAAAGAGACAGGUAAUGAAGACUUCUCAAAUGCAUUUACUUCACACAGGUAUCCUCGGUUGGCCUCUCCACAUUGACAUCUAUAGAUGCAGUGUCGGAUCCUCAAGAAGCAACAAUGUUAAAUGCAUAUCACUCACAAUAUCCCGUAAUAACACAAUCUUAUGAGCAAAAUUUGCAAAAACACCAAAACCACACAGGACCUUAGUAAAUGAAAACACCUGCUAUUCAUAUACAAGUAGAAUUUUAGCUUUGUUAUCACGAUGCACCCUACUUGAAAAGAAUCAACUUUGAAUUAUGCAUCUAUGUACUCUUUACAAGGUGGAACAUGAUUCAAAUUUCAAGAACCACGAAAGCUAUAUAAAAAAUAUAUCAAGGCCAACAAAACCAUCGGUGCAGACACCGGUAAUUACAACAAUUCUACUGGUUUGGAACCAGAGUUUCUCACUUCUUCCUUAUGACUGGAAUCAGAGAUUCUCACUUCUUCCUUAUGACUAGAAGGGCGCUCAAUUUCAGUAAAAGCCUGAUAGCCGGUAUAACUUGAGAACUGACCUGAGCCACUAUUACUGCUCAUAGACUUCUCAAUCUCGUCCAUCUCAGCUACAAAAGAAAUUGGUCGUUCUGGGAUUGUGGGAACAGACUGCUCAGUUUCCAACAUUUUCACGACCUGAUCCAUCGUUGGCCUGGCAUAUAACUGUGGAUGGGAACAAAGAACGGCAAUCGUUACAUACUUCUCUAGAACUUCGGGUACACCCAUCUCUGGCAUACCAUCUUCAAUAACAUCCAGAGCUCUCCCCUCCUUCACCAAUGACCAAGCCCAGUCCGUCACAAGAGAAGCUUGGCCAUCAUCAUUCAUAAUGAGUGCCUUCCUGCCACUCAAAAGCUCCAGAAGCACAACACCAAAGCUGUACACAUCACUCCUGUCAGUCAAUUGCCCAUACAAAGCAUACUCAGGAGCAAGAUAUCCCAUUGUCCCAGCCACCCUAGUACUCAAAUGAGUGAACCCCUCCGGUGUAAACUUUGCAAGCCCAAAAUCCCCCACCUUUGCCUCAAACUUCUCAUCCAAUAAUAUAUUACUAGCUUUAAUAUCCCUGUGAAAAAUUGCCGGCUGUGCACCAAAAUGCAAAUAGGCCAAUCCCCUUGCCGUCCCAAGAGCAAUCGACUGCCUAAGAGGCCAACUAAGCUUCGGCCCAUUGGAAGCAAACAAAUGAUCAUAAACGCUUCCAUUCUUCAUCAAAUCACAGACAAUAAUCCUCUGGUGACCCUCUAACUGAGUAGUGGCAAUACAAUAACCUCUCAAAGCAACAAGAUUGACAUGCCUAACGCUAGCAAUAACCUCCACCUCAUGCUUGAAAUUUGCAUCACCCGCCGCGGAACAAUUCUUGAACCUCUUCAAAGCAACCUCAGAGCCAUCGGGCAAAAGCCCUUUGUAGACAUUACCAUAACCUCCUCUCCCAAUGAUAUUAUCCCUUGAGAAAUUCCGAGUAGCUUUCUUAAUGUCAUCAAAUGUGAACCUGACCAAAUUAGUACUCUCAUGAAUAGACUCCAAUCCCAUUUCAAUUCUAUUAACCUCUUCUCGUUCCCUCUUCUUUCUUCUGUUAGAAACCACACGCUUACGCCAAAAGAUCCAAACCCCACCAGAAAUUAGCAACAACCCAACAACACAAACAACCAAGACCCCGGCAAUUAAGCCCUUGUUCUUCUUCUUACUCUUCUUUGAUGAUUCAGCAAACUCAAAUGAGAACAAACAGUUAGCAGUGCCCGUAUCGGUGGGACCAAACUGAUUGGCGGCCGCGGCGGCGUAAAUGGAAGGAUAGGCCAGACAAUCAGACAAGUUCCCAACGGAAGGCCCGGUCAAAUAGGCCUGCAAGCGGGCCAAGCUGGUAGUACAAGCAGCACAAGGGGCACUAUUCCCCAAGGACUGGUUACAGUUGGAAACGACGUCGUCGAGAGUGGACUGGGGAAUCAACCUCUCGAACUGGGAUAUCGUGGAGAUGUUCAUACAGCCUUCAGAGAUCCAAUCGGUUUGGAAGCCGCAGCGGGAGCGUACGUCGAAGUUCGGAGCGACUCUGUCGACAAGGGUUUGGUAAACGCGCCAGCAUGACUCGGAGGCGUUGAGGGGCGGCAGGAAGUUUCCGGUGCGUUUGAGGUAUUGUGAAUCCACGAGACGAAGGCCCUUUUUAACGUUCUGACACUGCGAGGGCAGGUCACUCGGAGUCUUGAACUGGGACAUCAGCUGCUGUAAGAAGUUGAAGUCAAGCGGGCACGAAACGGUGGCGUUUCGUUGUGCCGCGGCCGUUGUUGUGGAGGCCGCCAGGAAAAGAAUGAGAACAAGGCCUCGUAAGAAUGACAUCGGCAUCGACAUCUCGGGGACGGGGAGAGAUACCGGGGGGUGUUGGUAGCAGUACAGAGACAACAAAGACAACAAUAAGGAAAAGCAUGUGCACGUGCUUGUGCUUGGGGAUUGUGGUGCAAUUUGAGUAAACUAGUGUAAUUUGAGUUGGGAGUUUGACUAAUCACUAGUAAAUUCCCUAUGGCAUGCAACGGGUGAUGGCGGCAGGCAAGGCAAACACAGCCAGCCAGUUAUGACAGUUGAUUAGCUUAACCUACUGCAAAUUUGAAGCUUCAGAGAAGGUGAGAUAGUUCAAUUCAUUUGAUUUCGUUCAAUAAAAAUAUAAUAAAUAAAAGUUAUUGCUUCCUUACUUACCUAGUUUGUUAAUUUUCAACGCCUUAUUUUUGUCUGUCAAUAGAAACUUCAAGUCCAUUCAUCAAAUUGUCAAUUAUAUUAUUAGUCAAUUUAUUACGUGUUUGAUUCGAAUUUGUGUGUGAAAGUUCAAGAAAGGGGUGCAAUAACAUGUUUUAACUGUAGGGGAGGAUUAGUUAUUUUUUAUCUUACAGGCGGAAUAGGGUGUUAUUAUAAUGGGCUGCUCUGGAUCUGAAAGGAGACUCUUCUUAAAAAAAAAAUGAAAGAGACAAAAGAAAAUUGCAAAGACAUGUCAUCAAUUUCUAAGUCUUAACAAGGAGGUCUCCUUCUCCUUCUCGUAUGGCCUUUUAUUUUAUUUUAUUUUUUUUUUGAGUUAGAUAGGAAGUCUCUGUCUUGUCUUAAACUUGAUGUUCUGUAAGAUGUUCCAUUGGUCCGAAUUAUUGCACUAUCUUUUCAUCAGGUACUGUAUUUUAUAUAAAUAUAUUCUCAUGUCACAUAAAAUUCGAUGCAAAGUUUAUUGGGAUUUAAUGACAUCAAUAAAUCAUCAAUAAAUCCUCCUUUGUUUAUCUAUUCUUUUAGACUUUCUUGUACAACCUUAUUUCUCUUUUCCUUAUGGGGAAUGCUAUUCGAACGUCUAUCCAUUUUACCAUUUAAAGUGAAAAGCGCUUGUACAAAAGACAAUAAUACUAGGGAGAUCUUAGUAGUAGUAUUUGAGUUUUAAUCCAAAUUUUAUUAUCAUGUAUCAUUUAUUUAUUAGAUAAUAAAUUUCAUAACUUAUACAUUAUUUGACCACCAUCUGAUAAAUCAAUACUCCUAUAAAAAUAGUUAUGGAUGGAACAAUAACAUUCACAUCACUCAUUUUUCAUGUGUUAUCAUAAAAGCAUGUUGUUUGUUCAUUUUGUAAAAAUACCCUUAACCCAUGUUUGGUUGGAAGAAAUGGUAGGAGCGGAAAGGAAAGAAUGGGAGAGAAAAUGAGUGAAAAUGAGUGAAAAAGAAUGUCAAUUUCAUUUUUAUUGUUUGGAUGGUCAAAAAUUAUUACUAGAAAAUAGACCGCGAAGAAUUGAAGAAUUACAGAUGAAUGUACAAAAAGAACUUAAUUGUGUGAAUCGAAAAAUAAACAUUGCUAUUACACGAAUUACAAAUCCUUAUGGACACCCCAAUAUUCUUGCCGAAUUUAUAGCCGGCUGCUGUACGGCCAAGGCGGAUGUACGGUACAGCAGUUAAAAAAUACUAUAAUAUUUUACAAUCUAUUAGAUAAAUUUUAUUAUAUUAAAAAAAGUUUUAGAAUAAAUGAAAACAUAAUAUUAAAAUAAGUAUAAAAAAUUCAAAAUAUUUGGGAUACUAUGUAAAAUAAUUUUAAUAUUAUUAAUGCGUGCAAUAUAUUUUAUUAAAUGUAAAGUAUAUUUAACUCAGAGAUUUAUUUAAAAUCUUUGUAAUAGAUUCAUGAAAGUAUUAAAAUAAUAUAGUGAUAUAAAUUAUUUUUAAAUAUUUUACUUUUAUUAAUUUAUUAAAUAGAUUAAAUUAUUUGUGUUUAUGUAUAUUUACUCAAAUAUUUAAAGUUAAUUAUUUUAAUCAUUAUAUUUAAAAGGUAUUAUUUAACUUUAUUUAUAAAAAAAUUUAGAGAUAUGUAUGACCAUUUUCAUAAAUUUUACGGGUAAUGAUUCCUUUUUCGUAAAUAAAUAAAUUAAUUAAAAAUGGAGAAAGGUUUGGCAGAGUUGUGUUUGGCUUGAGAUUCCUUUUGACAAGCAAUUCUUGACGGGAAAAUGAGUUGGUUGUUUGUCUUUUAUCCCCAAAGAUGUGAGACUGAUUCAAGUUAUUUACGCAUCCUGUCCAUUAUCCAACAACAAUUCUGGUGACGACAGUGAUCUGAUCUACUACCCAUUUUAAUUAGUAAUAAAUUAGGUACAGCUAGCCACCGAUUUAGAAAGGAGAGUUGGCAACAGCAUUGGUUCACUCCUGAAAAAAUAUUAAAAAAAUAAAUCGAGAGUUGCAAUUUGCCAUUUGUUUCGAUGAUUAUUCAAAAGUGGUUGUUUUGGGAUACAUUUGAAUAAAGGAAUGCAGGCCUUGGAGAAAUAAUAAUAAUAAUAAUGAACAACAUAUAUGAGAUCCUCGGUUGGCCUCUCCACAUCGACAUCUAUAGAUGCAGUCUCGGAUCCUCAAGAAGCAACAAUGUUAAAUGCAUAUCACUCACAAUAUCCCGUAAUAACACAAUCUUAUGAGCAAAAUUUGCAAAAACACCAAAACCACACAGGACCUUAGUAAAUGAAAACACCUGCUAUUCAUAUACAAGUAGAAUUUUAGCUUUGUUAUCACGAUGCACCCUACUUGAAAAGAAUCAACUUUGAAUUAUGCAUCUAUGUACUCUUUACAAGGUGGAACAUGAUUCAAAUUUCAAGAACCACGAAAGCUAUAUAAAAAAUAUAUCAAGGCCAACAAAACCAUCGGUGCAGACACCGGUAAUUACAACAAUUCUACUGGUUUGGAACCAGAGUUUCUCACUUCUUCCUUAUGACUGGAAUCAGAGAUUCUCACUUCUUCCUUAUGACUAGAAGGGCGCUCAAUUUCAGUAAAAGCCUGAUAGCCGGUAUAACUUGAGAACUGACCUGAGCCACUAUUACUGCUCAUAGACUUCUCAAUCUCAUCUAUCUCAGCUACAAGAGAAAUUGGUCGUUCUGGGAUUGUGGGAACAGACUGCUCAGUUUCCAACAUUUUCACGACCUGAUCCAUCGUUGGCCUGGCAUAUAACUGUGGAUGGGAACAAAGAACGGCAAUCGUUACAUACUUCUCUAGAACUUCGGGUACACCCAUCUCUGGCAUACCAUCUUCAAUAACAUCCAGAGCUCUCCCCUCCUUCACCAAUGACCAAGCCCAGUCCGUCACAAGAGAAGCUUGGCCAUCAUCAUUCAUAAUGAGUGCCUUCCUGCCACUCAAAAGCUCCAGAAGCACAACACCAAAGCUGUACACAUCACUCCUGUCAGUCAAUUGCCCAUACAAAGCAUACUCAGGAGCAAGAUAUCCCAUUGUCCCAGCCACCCUAGUACUCAAAUGAGUGAGCCCCUCCGGCGUAAACUUUGCAAGCCCAAAAUCCCCCACCUUCGCCUCAAACUUCUCAUCCAAUAAUAUAUUACUAGCUUUAAUAUCCCUGUGAAAAAUUGCCGGCUGUGCACCAAAAUGCAAAUAGGCCAAUCCCCUUGCCGUCCCAAGAGCAAUCGACUGCCUAAGAUGCCAACUAAGCUUCGGCCCAUUGGAAGCAAACAAAUGAUCAUAAACGCUUCCAUUCUUCAUCAAAUCACAGACAAUAAUUCUCUGGUGACCCUCUAACUGAGUAGUGGCAAUACAAUAACCUCUCAAAGCAACAAGAUUGACAUGCCUAACGCUAGCAAUAACCUCCACCUCAUGCUUGAAAGUUGCAUCACCCGCCGCGGAACAAUUCUUGAACCUCUUCAAAGCAACCUCAGAGCCAUCGGGCAAAAGCCCUUUGUAGACAUUACCAUAACCUCCUCUCCCAAUGAUAUUAUCCCUUGAGAAAUUCCGAGUAGCUUUCUUAAUGUCAUCAAAUGUGAACCUGACCAAAUUAGUACUCUCAUGAAUAGACUCCAAUCCCAUUUCAAUUCUAUUAACCUCUUCUCGUUCCCUCUUCUUUCUUCUGUUAGAAACCACACGCUUACGCCAAAAGAUCCAAACCCCACCAGAAAUUAGCAACAACCCAACAACACAAACAACCAAAACCCCGGCAAUUAAGCCCUUGUUCUUCUUCUUACUCUUCUUUGAUGAUUCAGUUACCUCAAAUGAGAACAAACACUUAGCAGUGCCCCUAUCGGUGGGACCAAACUGAUUGACGGCCGCGGCGGCGUAAAUGAAGGGAUAGGCCAGACAAUCAGACAAGUUCCCAACGGAAGGCCCGGUCAAAUAGGCCUGCAAGCGGGCCAAGCUGGUAGUACAAGCAGCACAAGGGGCACUAUUCCCCAAGGACUGGUUACAGUUGGAAACGACGUCGUCGAGAGUGGACUGGGGGAUCAAUCUCUCGAACUGGGAUCUCGUGGAGAUGUUCAUACAGCCUUCAGAGAUCCAAUCGGUUUGGAAGCCGCAGCGGGAGCGUACGUCGAAGUUCGGGGCGACUCUGUCGACAAGGGUUUGGUAAACGCGCCAGCAUGACUCGGAGGCGUUGAGGGGCGGCAGGAAGUUUCCGGAGCGUUUGAGGUAUUGUGAAUCCACGAGACGAAGGCCCUUUUUAACUUCCUGACACUGCGAGGGCAGGUCACUCGGAGUCUUGAACUGGGACAUCAGCUGCUGUAAGAAGUUGAAGUCAAGCGGGCACGAAACGGUGGCGUUUCGUUGUGCCGCGGCCGUUGUUGUGGAGGCCGCCAGGAAAAGAAUGAGAACAAGGCCUCGUAAGAAUGACAUCGGCAUCGACAUCGACAUCUCGGGGACGGGGAGAGAUACCGGGCGGUGUUGGUAGCAGUACAAAGACAACAAUAAGGAAAAGCAUGUGCACGUGCUUGUGCUUGGGGAUUGUGGUGCAAUUUGAGUAAACUAGUGUAAUUUGAGUUGGGAGUUUGACUAAUCACUAGUAAAUUCCCUAUGGCAUGCAACGGGUGAUGGCGGCAGGCAAGGCAAACACAGCCAGCCAGUUAUGACAGUUGAUUAGCUUAACCUACUGCAAAUUUGAAGCUUCAGAGAAGGUGAGAUAGUUCAAUUCAUUUGAUUUCGUUCAAUAAAAAUAUAAUAAAUAAAAGUUAUUGCUUCCUUACUUACCUAGUUUGUUCAUUUUCAACGCCUUAUUUUUGUCUGUCAAUAGAAACUUCAAGUCCAUUCAUCAAAUUGUCAAUUAUAUUAUUAGUCAAUUUAUUACGUGUUUGAUUCGAAUUUGUGUGUGAAAGUUCAAGAAAGGGGUGCAAUAACAUGUUUUAACUGUAGGGGAGGAUUAGUUAUUUUUUAUCUUACAGGCGGAAUAGGGUGUUAUUAUAAUGGGCUGCUCUGGAUCUGAAAGGAGACUCUUCUUAAAAAAAAAAUGAAAGAGACAAAAGAAAAUUGCAAAGACAUGUCAUCAAUUUCUAAGUCUUAACAAGGAGGUCUCCUUCUCCUUCUCGUAUGGCCUUUUAUUUUAUUUUAUUUUUUUUUUGAGUUAGAUAGGAAGUCUCUGUCUUGUCUUAAACUUGAUGUUCUGUAAGAUGUUCCAUUGGUCCGAAUUAUUGCACUAUCUUUUCAUCAGGUACUGUAUUUUAUAUAAAUAUAUUCUCAUGUCACAUAAAAUUCGAUGCAAAGUUUAUUGGGAUUUAAUGACAUCAAUAAAUCAUCAAUAAAUCCUCCUUUGUUUAUCUAUUCUUUUAGACUUUCUUGUACAACCUUAUUUCUCUUUUCCUUAUGGGGAAUGCUAUUCGAACGUCUAUCCAUUUUACCAUUUCAAGUGAAAAGCGCUUGUACAAAAGACAAUAAGAGCCUGUUUGGUAUGACUUAUUUAAGAGCCAUAAGUGCUUAUUUAAUCGUAUAAGCACUUUUUAAAAUUUUUUAUGGUGUUUGGUUAUUUUUUUAGUAGAGUUUUUUUAGCUUAAAUAAGCUAAUUUACCUCUACUAACAAAAGCCCAAAAUUUGAGCUUUUGGGAGUAGAGGUUAUAGAGCUUUUCUAAAAAUAUCUAAUAUAUAAUAUAUAUAUAAUAUAAAAAAUAUCUGGUUCAAAAGUGCUUUUUUUAUUGACAACCAAACACCCAAUGACUUUUUGUCCAAAAGCUCUAUUGGUAUAAGCUCUACUGCUAUAAGCUCUACUGUUAUAAGCUCUAUUUAAUAAGCUGUACCAAACGGAGCCUAAUACUAGGGAGAUCUUAGUAGUAGUAUUUGAGUUUUAAUUCGAAUUUUAUUAUCAUGUAUCAUUUAUUUAUUAGAUAAUAAAUUUCUUACUUAUACAUUAUUUGACCACCAUCUGAUAGAUUAAUACUCCUAUAAAAAUAGUUAUGGAUGGAACAAUAACAUUCACAUCAUUCAUUUUUCAUGUGUUAUCAUAAAAGCAUGUUGUUUGUUCAUUUUGUGAAAAUACCCUUAACCCAUGUUUGGUUGGAAGAAAUGGUAGGAGCGGAAAGGAAAGAAGGGGAGAGAAAAUGAGUGAAAAAGAAUGUCAAUUUCAUUUUUAUUGUUUGGAUGGUCAAGGAAUUCAUUUUUCUCCCCUUAUUUUUUCCCCUCUCCUCCUUUCCUCUUCUCUCCUCUCCUUAUAUUGUUCCAAACCAAACAUGCCAUUAGUCUUGAAUAUUUCUCAAAAAUGACACUUGGAAUCACAAUUUAUAUGAAAAUGAACAAAAAAAACUCUCUAAUGUUUCGACAAAGGCAUCAACACCUCAUCUGAUAGUAAAUUCAAUUAGUUUAUAAGGCAACAAUGGUAAUUUAGUACAUUUAUCCUAAAAAUAUUCAUGAUAUACCAAAAAAAAAAGGUUCUAAUCUUAUUUUGUUUUACAUAAACAUCUCAAAAUUCAUUGUAAGUGAUGUGAUAUUCAUUAGGGAUGAUGAUUUCGAUUUUUGGUUCAAUUUUUACGAUUUUCGGUUUAGGUUACAACCCAUUCGAGUCUAAGAUUUCAACCUAAGCAUGUUGAAAGAUUAUUUCAGUUUGGUCUGGUUUGGUUCGGUUUAGUUCAAUUUGAUUCGAGUUUAUAAUUUGGUGUGGUUUUGGUUUGUUAAUUCAGGU